AUGGCAGGGCGAAGGCCGAGGCCGCCAGCGACCUGGUCUGCGCCUGCGCGGGGGCACACCGUACUACAACUCCCAGAGGGCCGCGCGCAGCCCCGCGCGCCUGCCCCGCCCGCCGUCAGGUGGCGCUGCGGCGCGGGUUCAGGUUUCCCAGCGCGCGGGCUUGCUCUGGCCAGGGCCGUCGAGGACUCGGGACGCGGGCAGGCCCCGACCAGCCCGCAGCGGCGAGGGCCUCGGAGUGUUGCAGGGCGGCGCGGCCGCGAGGAGGCCGCGCGAGGGCCUCGUGUGUUCCGGAACAGCUCCCUGUGUUCACAGCGGGGGCUGCGCCGCCAACUAAAACGGAAAGAAAAACGCAGAAUUGGAAGCGAACCUUCAGGAACCAGACGUGGCUCAAGCGACCGGCUUCCGUCCACCCGGGCUGGAUCCCGGCCCCCUGGGAAAGGCUGCCAGGCCUGCGCCGCGAGCCACGAGCAAGAUGACGCAACGCCAGGAGAGCUGCUGCAGCACCAGGAGCUGAGGUGGCGCCGCCACAGGGAACCUCUCCACACCCAGGGCCCCAGGAUCAAUCCCGGUGAAGCCCAGAGGACACGAGAGAGAAGACGAACAAGAAAGGGACGAGAGCAGGAAGGGACACCCCAGGAGCCCAGACACAAGAGCCCGUGGCAGUCACCACAUCCUCUGUGCCCUGAAUGGCUCCCGGGAUGUCUGUUUCCUGUGGUUGGCAAGAAACUGAACAGUGAAAACUGUCUUCAGCCAGGAGCAUGAUGCAUACUGGAGGACCUGAGAAACCAGCAGGCAGCCGUGGGGGCAAAGAAGCCACCCUCGGCUUCAGGGGACAGGAGGGAUGGGCUUUGUUUUGUGGGACAUAUUCUCUUUUUCAAGUGCCUCCUUUCCUUCAUUUAACUUAAUUUUUCCAUUACCACAUAGUAAAAUCAAUGUACGUAUAUGUAUGUGCAUGUACAAGACUGAAUUUUCGCACGUGUGAUCCAUGAAACCCCCACCGCCCUAAAAUGACCCCCUCGUGCUGCCCUUUAUAGUCACACCCUUCCCCUCCCAUAACCCUGCCUGGCAAACACGGUCUCUUUUCUGUCACUCUAAUUUUGCCUUUUCCAGAACACCAUAUACAAAUCACAGUACAGAAACUUUUGUGUUUUUCUUGAGGUACCAGGCCCAGGGACUGAACCCAGGACCUCGUAUGUGGGGAGCUGGCGCUCUACCCAGAACCUCUUAAAACUGCCCUUUUUCACUCUGUAAUGCCCUAGAGACCCAGCCAGUUUGUUGCAUGGAUCAAUAAUAGUUCAUGCCUUUCUACUGCUGGGUGGCAUUUCAGUGGAAGCAGGUACCACUAAUUGCUUAUCCAUCCACCACUGAAGAAAUCUUUGGGUUGUUUCCAGGUUGAAACUAUGACCAGUAAAGCUACCACAAACACUUAUGUAUGCGCAUUCAUCAUAUUUGGGUAAAUUCUCCUGAGUGGGAUUGCUGGGCCACAUGUUAUGUGUAGAUUUAACCUUCUAAGAAAUGGCCAAACCGUUUUCCAGAGUGACUGGACCAUUUUACAUUCCCACAGCAAGGUGUGCGGGACCCACUGCUCUGCAUUCUUGCCAGCACUUGGCAUUUCAACUCUUUUUAAUCUUAGUCAUUCUAGUGAGUAGUGGUAUAUCAAUGGCUUUUUUAAAAAAGAUUUAUUUACUCUAGUUUUCUUCUUUACCCCCUCCUCCCCCAUGGUUCUCUCAUCUGUCUGCUCAGUGUUUGCUCACCUUCUCCCGGAGGCAUAGGGAUGGAACCUGGGACCUCCCAUGUGGUAGGCAGGCGCCCAACUGGUUGAGCCACGUCUGCUUCCCUCAUGAUGGUUUUAGUUUGCCUUUCCCAAGUGGCUAGUGAUGUUCAUCGUCUUUUCAUACGCUUAUGGGGAUUGUAUCCUUUUAAAAAGGAAAGCGCUCGGCUCCUGUCCCUUUCUCCUCAGGUGUGAACACAGAAAGCAGGUGGGAGGCAGCUGUGCUGGAGGCCAUGGCAGGCAAGGGGAGGGCCAGGGAGGCAUGGGUGGCCCCGGGGCAGCUGCAGGCUGCUGGCAAGGGGAUGCCCAGACUUAGGGGAGAAGGAAGGAGCCCGUGGGCUGAGGAGGGGUGGGGAGAGGCCGGUCACGGAGUCUGCUCCACGCGGAGGGGAGGAAAGGAGCUGCUGUCUUCUUCCCCGAUUCGCCAUGGACGCUGGCUCUUCCGUAGACUCCGUGGUUUUCAACGCCAGCCCCUGCUGGGCCUCUCCCGCCACUCUGAGCUCCAGUCCAUGAGGAUCCCCUCCGUUCUUGGCACACGCCACGGCCCUGUCUCAUCUGCAGGCCUUCCAUGCGCAGCUCCCGCUGCCAGGGAUGCCCCACACCCCCUCCCAGCCCCUUCAGGACGCCCAGGAUUCGCCUGCAGGGGUGUUUGAGGGCUGGCGAGGCCCAGAGGGGCCUUGGCCCACAGAAAUCCUCAGCGCUCCGGCCCUGGCCGUGCUAGCACGAGGCCAGGGGCACGCACGUGCCUGCUGUCCCCAGGCCCACGGCCGUUUGGGGUGGAACAGCUGGCGCCACGUUGCCGGCCCCUCCCCAGCCCAUGACCCUCAGCCUGGCACUGGGUGAGGCCGUCAGUGCUUCCCAGGACACACCUGUCCCCCCACUCCUC
Long non-coding RNA from Dasypus novemcinctus (nine-banded armadillo), 2657 nucleotides. The record is from Ensembl. NCBI's taxonomy places the organism in Eukaryota, Metazoa, Chordata, Mammalia, Cingulata, Dasypodidae.